This 66-nucleotide transfer RNA is filed under the name Anadara pilula. RNAcentral's name for it is "tRNA-Arg". Lineage: Eukaryota; Metazoa; Mollusca; Bivalvia; Arcoida; Arcidae. The record is from RNAcentral.
GGGCCUGUAGUUUAAAGAAUGCUCGGUUUCGGCCCGAAGGGAGGGUUAAUUAUUGCCCCAGGUCUU